This is a long non-coding RNA of Hemicordylus capensis (graceful crag lizard), 665 nucleotides long. RefSeq lists it as uncharacterized. Lineage: Eukaryota; Metazoa; Chordata; Lepidosauria; Squamata; Cordylidae. The record is from RefSeq and is a predicted model, not a curated record. The transcript has 2 exons.
GCCAGGAAGGAGGAGGCAGCCAGAGUGGCCACCACUGGCCUCUGCAGCAGAAGACCCCCUGCUGCCAGGUUCCAGAUGGUGUCACUUGGAGAUAGUUGCUCUUUGAAAUGAGAGCUCUUAUAUGGCUGAAGACCCUGAAGAUGUACCUGUUUUCCCAGGGCUUUAAUUGAAUUUUAAAUUUUAAUAUGUUUAUACUCAUUGAGAUUUUUAUCUGUUUUAUGCAUUUUAAUUGUUUUAUAUUGUUUUUAUAUUUUGUUUUAAUUAUACACUACAUGGAGAUUUCUAUAUCAGGUGUUAUAGAAAUAUGAUCAAUUGAUUGAUCAAUCAAUCAAUCAGUCAGUCAAUCAAUCAAUAAAAGUCCCCAUUGCUGGUCUAUUAUUAGAGCAAGUCAGAUCCACAGCAGGCCAGAUCUCUGGAGCUUGGUAAGGAUUGUGUCUAAUAGGCAUGGGCUGAUUUUGAUUUAUUUGUCCCUAGUUGUCUCAACAUGACUGAGUGAGUUGGGAAGGAGUGGAAAUGCUGUUUUUAUUGGGGUCUUAGUUUUUCCUACUCUCCAGUUUCCUUUUUUGGCACAUCAGAUGCCUAUAUUGAUUAAGUUUGGACAUUUUGCAGUUGUACUAUUUUAAUAUAUAGGCCGGGUUGUUGCCUGUGCCCUUCUAUACCCACAA